GAUCGAACGGCUACGCGUACAGGCUUAACACAUGCAAGUCGAGGGGCGAGCGAUAGUUCUAGCAAUAGAGAUGAUGGCGACCGGCGCACGGGUGAGUAACACGUAUCCAACCUGCCUUAUACUCGGGGAUAGCCUUUCGAAAGAAAGAUUAAUACCCGAUGUUAUAGUCUAACCGCAUGAUUUGACUAUAAAAGAUUUUCGGUAUAAGAUGGGGAUGCGUUCCAUUAGAUUGUAGGCGGGGUAACGGCCCACCUAGUCUUCGAUGGAUAGGGGUUCUGAGAGGAAGGUCCCCCACAUUGGAACUGAGACACGGUCCAA
Molecule: ribosomal RNA, 318 nt
Filed under: uncultured bacterium
Lineage: Bacteria
Description: bacterial SSU rRNA
Rfam family: Bacterial small subunit ribosomal RNA
Source: RNAcentral